Gadus macrocephalus (Pacific cod) is the source of this 1021-nucleotide long non-coding RNA. RefSeq lists it as uncharacterized. The record is from RefSeq and is a predicted model, not a curated record. NCBI's taxonomy places the organism in Eukaryota, Metazoa, Chordata, Actinopteri, Gadiformes, Gadidae. The transcript has 2 exons.
GAAGGCGACUAAAGGGGGGAACAGUAUAUUAACUAAAAAGACUGCUUUUCCCCCCCCAGAUCCCGAACAAUAGACUCUGGCUAGAGCCGAUAUUCCCUGCCCCUAGGGGCACUGUGGGUUGGGGUGUACGUUGUGUUUUCAGUGUUUCCUGUACACAGAAGAAGAGACCAGGAAAUAAAAGGGGCGAAAACAUGGAGUUCAGGGCGCUCCUCAGCCCGAGGACACAAGGAUUUAUGCCUGGACGCCGACAACCCGGACCGCUCAUCACUACCCGCUACCUCCGGAGAACUACGCGACCAGACUUCGCAAGCCAGGAAGGACCUUUCGGACGUACCGUCGUUUCCCUACAACGCCUGCGAGUCCCGUCAGAAAGCGACGUACUCUAGCGUAAGCAGGAUCUGGUGCAGGUCUUCUGGUCCGCUCCGGCCUCCGUGACCAGCGAGGGACGGCGCCGGCGGACGGAUCUCCACUCUACAUCCUAGAGCACGGUUUAUUUGGUUUGCUUUGUUUUUCCAACUCGCCGUUUGAGGGACUGGUCUGGCGCGAGUUGGAACGAACGAUUUUAUACUCUUUUACUGUUUUGUCUGUUAUAGGGAUAUUUUAUCAACAAGUCUGUCUUCCUUGUAUGGGAUCCCUAUAAACCAGGGGUUGGCUACGGCAGGCCCUGUUGGAUACCAGGCUGAAUUGUUCAGCGAGCCCUUCCUUCUGUGUUCUUGAGGUUGGUCCCCCUCACGUGUGUUCAACGUGUGCUGUGUGUAGCGUUCAGCGUUCAGUGUUCGCAGUGUGUAGUGUGCAGUGUGCAGAGUUCAACGUUUGCUGUGUCUAUAGGCUUGCAGUGAGGGCAGGGUGUGCAACGUGUGCGGUGUCGAGGUUGGCUCAUAAAGGUAUGGUUACGGUUAUCCAGAGUACCAGCCUACCCCCUGGCUUUCUCCCUCCCAUAUUAAGUGAUAGGUAGAUUCGACUUACUUGUGCUCUUUGUUUUAUGAAAUUGUAUUAAUAAAGCAUUUCUGUUAAUAAUUGA